GGAAAACUGGAGUUUGACACAAACAGCGUAAAUAAAACACACACCAUUAAUAUUUCAGCAUCUGUAGAAAUAAAAAGAUGCUUGUGUUUGAGGCUGUAGCGGCUGGUCGGUCGGUUCUCCAGGUGUUCCAGGUAAACUGGAGUUCCUGAUGGUCGAUGCAGGAAGAGAAGACAACAGACCUGCAGCUUAGAGCCUGAAGUUUUGCUUUUCACCUGGAGAAUCUGACAGCAGUUCACAGUGACAGGAUGUUCCUGUUUGCUGUUCACUGCCAGGUGAGGCAGAUCUAUUGAUGCACACAGCAGGAAGCCAGUUGGAUCUGAAUGAUGUGAUGAGGAAACUGGAUGAAGAUCUGGCUCAGAAACAGGCAGUAAUCUGCAGAUGAGGCCCCUCAGGGGCCACUGUGGGGCCCUGAAUUAUUCACACUGCACCUAUCCAACAAAAUGAAUCCGUUUUAUUUGCAGACAACAAAAAUGUCUGCUGCCUGUAAAUCUGCAAAAGAUAUUUUCAGACUGGGAUGGUGGCAAUAAACCCAGAAGAAGAAUGAUCUGAGAUCCUCAAACUGUUAAAAUAUUUAGUUUUUCUGUCUGAGGAGGGAAACUGAAAAACAGGGAUGACCAAAUAUCACCCAGUUUAAAAGAAAAGAAACUGAAUAUUUUUAAUAGAAGUUUAAAACCAAACAAACGACUGCAGACGGAUCCACCAUGAUGAGACGACGACAGCUUUGGUUUUUAUUUAUACUCAUUUCUUUCCCAUUACAGAGACUGGAGGGAAACACUGCAAAGCUACAGAGUGAAAAAUUAACUUCUGCUCUUAUUUAGCAGAAGAGAAAAGGAGGAGCUCAUUUCUCAAAGUCAUAUUUCCACCUGCUUAUUCAGUCAUUUAUAAAUGUCAAGCUAUUUGGCUUGCUAACUAAAUAUUUAGCUAAUAUCUAAAUUCACUUGCCAAUAACAGGAAGUGUACUACCAAAAUAAAAGCUUGGUCUUCCAGCCCUCCUAAUAAUCUCCCGCUGUCGAACUGCUUCAUGUCUCCUCUUCAUCAUCUUUUCUUUUCUUGUUCAACAUUUCAGCUGAAAACGAGGAAACUCUGUUUUUAAGACAAUCCAGACGUUUAGCAACAGAUCAGCAUUCAGUCAAGACACAGCUUUUAUUUUGAUAGUCCACUUCCGCUACCAUGUGAACAUGCACAUUAGAUCAAUAUUUAGCUCUGAGCUGCUAACUAAAUAUUUAGUUAAAUAUUUAUUUAGCAUAUUUGAAGCUAAAUAUUUCCUUUUCCAAUAAUAUUUUUUAAACUUUGACAUUUUGUAAAUGAGUUAAUAACAUGAAGAUACGAGUUUGAAGAAUGAUCCAUGUUUUCUUUUCUGACUGUCUUAAUAAGCCAGAUUAUUGCUGUUUGUUUUCCAGGCAUGUUUGAAGCAAACUAAUAAACUAAACUCCUCCCUGUG
Poecilia latipinna (sailfin molly) is the source of this 1441-nucleotide long non-coding RNA. RefSeq lists it as uncharacterized. The transcript has 3 exons. Lineage: Eukaryota; Metazoa; Chordata; Actinopteri; Cyprinodontiformes; Poeciliidae. The record is from RefSeq and is a predicted model, not a curated record.